GUCUUCUUAGUUUAAUGGUAGAACAGUAUUCUUCUAAAAUAUAAAUUCUGGUUCGAUUCCAGAAGAGGGCU
This 71-nucleotide transfer RNA is filed under the name Ramaria rubella. Its description in RNAcentral is "tRNA-Arg". It matches the Rfam family "tRNA". From Rfam's summary of the family: Transfer RNA (tRNA) molecules are approximately 80 nucleotides in length. Their secondary structure includes four short double-helical elements and three loops (D, anti-codon, and T loops). The record is from RNAcentral. Lineage: Eukaryota; Fungi; Basidiomycota; Agaricomycetes; Gomphales; Gomphaceae.